This 499-nucleotide ribosomal RNA is filed under the name uncultured Glomeromycotina. RNAcentral's name for it is "partial small subunit ribosomal RNA". It matches the Rfam family "Eukaryotic small subunit ribosomal RNA", at positions 591 to 1092 of the family's 1831-position model. Lineage: Eukaryota; Fungi; Glomeromycota. The record is from RNAcentral.
CCAAUAGCGUAUAUUAAAGUUGUUGCAGUUAAAAAGCUCGUAGUUGAAUUUCGAGAUCAAAUUGUUGGUCGUGCCUUGGUACGCACUGGCAUUAUUGGUUUCUCCCUUCUGACGAACCAUGAUGUCAUUAAUUUGGUGUCUUGGGGAAUCGGGACUGUUACUUUGAAAAAAUUAGAGUGUUUAAAGCAGGCUCACGCUGGUAUACAUUAGCAUGGAAUAAUGAAAUAGGACGUUUGAUUCUAUUUUGUUGGUUUCUAGGAUCGACGUAAUGAUUAAUAGGGAUAGUUGGGGGCAUUAGUAUUCAAUUGUCAGAGGUGAAAUUCUUGGAUUUAUUGAAGACUAACUACUGCGAAAGCAUUUGCCAAGGAUGUUUUUAUUAAUCAAGAACGAAAGUUAGGGGAUCGAAGACGAUCAGAUACCGUCGUAGUCUUAACCAUAAACUAUGCCGACUAGGGAUCGGAUGAUGUUAAUUUUUUAAUGACUCAUUCGGCGCCUUACG